Molecule: ribosomal RNA, 460 nt
Filed under: uncultured bacterium
Lineage: Bacteria
Description: partial 16S ribosomal RNA
Rfam family: Bacterial small subunit ribosomal RNA
Source: RNAcentral
CCUACGGGCGGCAGUAGUGAGGAAUAUUGGUCAAUGGACGAGAGUCUGAACCAGCCAAGUAGCGUGAAGGAUGACUGCCCUAUGGGUUGUAAACUUCUUUUAUAUGGGAAUAAAAUGUUCCACGUGUGGGAUUUUGUAUGUACCAUAUGAAUAAGGAUCGGCUAACUCCGUGCCAGCAGCCGCGGUAAUACGGAGGAUCCGAGCGUUAUCCGGAUUUAUUGGGUUUAAAGGGAGCGUAGGUGGAUUGUUAAGUCAGUUGUGAAAGUUUGCGGCUCAACCGUAAAAUUGCAGUUGAAACUGGCAGUCUUGAGUACAGUAGAGGUGGGCGGAAGUCGUGGUGUAGCGGUGAAAUGCUUAGAUAUCACGAAGAACUCCGAUUGCGAAGGCAGUUCACUGGACUGCAACUGACACUGAGGCUCGAAAGUGUGGGUAUCAAACAGGAUUAGAUACCCUGGUAGUC